Molecule: transfer RNA, 72 nt
Filed under: Onthophagus taurus
Lineage: Eukaryota; Metazoa; Arthropoda; Insecta; Coleoptera; Scarabaeidae
Description: tRNA-Asp
Rfam family: tRNA
About the family: Transfer RNA (tRNA) molecules are approximately 80 nucleotides in length.
Source: RNAcentral
UCCCAGUUAGUAUAGUGGUCAGUAUCCCCGCCUGUCACGCGGGAGACCGGGGUUCGAUUCCCCGACUGGGAG